GUAGCACUCGGGUAAGGCAGGGUGGAGCCACCUCCCAGGAUGAAGAACUUGAGCAACAAUCCCCUCUUGGUGAAUGGAACUGCAAAUGUCUGAAUAACUUGCUCUGCAGUAACAUGUACAUACAGAAUUUAGUUCCUUGGCUGUCUAAAAUUAUCUUUAAAUAAUGUUAAAUCUUCAAAUUUGUCCAGUUAUCUAUGCUCACAGUCAAAAUAGAUAACCCUCCUAGCAGUUGGUAAGAUCUGACGACCAUCUCUGUGAAUAGCAUCAGCAUGAA
Molecule: unclassified non-coding RNA, 274 nt
Filed under: Hevea brasiliensis (rubber tree)
Lineage: Eukaryota; Viridiplantae; Streptophyta; Magnoliopsida; Malpighiales; Euphorbiaceae
Source: RNAcentral